AUGCGGGCAUUUUUCCGGUGCUGUUGGCGCCUUUUCCCUCGGGGCCAAGUUACCGGGCGCAAAAGGGUUCGGAAAAAGUUUGCCUGGUUCGGGGAAAAGGCCGUGGAGAGAGACGGCGACCGCUCGUUGCCCCUCCCGUCGGAGACGCGCACAUGUGGGUCAGGAGGCCAUCAUGUCGUCCGGUUAUCGGCGACGGGACGGUUUGGGCCGGGCGAAUUCCCAAAAGGUUUGGCUGCUGGCCGAAAAGGGUCCGCGUUAAUUGGGACGGCCGCCGCGACCGCGACCGCGACGCCGAGUGCUGCGCGGAGUUCGGUCAUGCCUGAGGUCACAGCUGUGUGGAACGAUAUGGGGGUGGAUCCAAAGAUAAAUAAAGAGUCAAUUAGACCGGUGAUGUUAGAACUUGGUGCAAAAAUAAUCACUUUGGAGGAAAGCUUCAAAAUGCUGCAAGAAAUGGAAAUUGGAGAUGAGGAAGAGGAGGAUAACGUCAGCAUGCUUGAUGAUCAGGUUGGGGAUGCAAAUGAUAGUGAAAACCUAGAGGAGGUAGUGUUCAGUCCAAGUCUCUCAUCAAUUACUACUCAAGCCCCACCCAUGCAGCAAAAAUGGGCCCAAUCCAAGCCCAAAGAAAGAGCUCUAGGAUUGACAUAG
This 645-nucleotide ribosomal RNA is filed under the name Triticum aestivum (bread wheat). RNAcentral's name for it is "partial small subunit ribosomal RNA". The record is from RNAcentral. Lineage: Eukaryota; Viridiplantae; Streptophyta; Magnoliopsida; Poales; Poaceae.